This 561-nucleotide ribosomal RNA is filed under the name uncultured bacterium. RNAcentral describes it as "partial 16S ribosomal RNA". It matches the Rfam family "Bacterial small subunit ribosomal RNA", at positions 355 to 909 of the family's 1533-position model. The record is from RNAcentral.
UGGGGAAUUUUGGACAAUGGGGGAAACCCUGAUCCAGCCAUCCCGCGUGUGCGAUGAAGGCCUUCGGGUUGUAAAGCACUUUUGGCAGGAAAGAAACGUCGCGGGUUAAUACCCCGCGAAACUGACGGUACCUGCAGAAUAAGCACCGGCUAACUACGUGCCAGCAGCCGCGGUAAUACGUAGGGUGCAAGCGUUAAUCGGAAUUACUGGGCGUAAAGCGUGCGCAGGCGGUUCGGAAAGAAAGAUGUGAAAUCCCAGAGCUUAACUUUGGAACUGCAUUUUUAACUACCGGGCUAGAGUGUGUCAGAGGGAGGUGGAAUUCCGCGUGUAGCAGUGAAAUGCGUAGAUAUGCGGAGGAACACCGAUGGCGAAGGCAGCCUCCUGGGAUAACACUGACGCUCAUGCACGAAAGCGUGGGGAGCAAACAGGAUUAGAUACCCUGGUAGUCCACGCCCUAAACGAUGUCAACUAGCUGUUGGGGCCUUCGGGCCUUGGUAGCGCAGCUAACGCGUGAAGUUGACCGCCUGGGGAGUACGGUCGCAAGAUUAAAACUCAAAUGAA